CAAUAGCGUAUAUUAAAGCUGUUGCGGUUAAAAAGCUCGUAGUUGGAUUUCUGUCAAGGACAACUGGUCCGCCCUUCGGGUGAGCACAUAGUUUGGUCUUGGCAUCUUGUUGGAAACUGUUGCUGCACUUGGUUGUGUGGAGCAGCGUCCAGCACUUUCACUUUGAGGAAAUUGGAGUGUUUCAAGCAGGCACAUGCCUUUGGACACAGUAGCAUGGAAUAAUUAGAUUGGGCUUUUGCUCCAACUUGUCGGUUUCUGGAGCUGAGGUGAGAAUUAAUGGGGAUUGUUGGGGGCAUCCGAAUUUAGCCGUCAGAGGUGAAAUUCUUGGAUCUGCUAAAGACGGACAACUGCGAAAGCGUUUGCCCAGGAUGUUUUCAUUGA
This 381-nucleotide ribosomal RNA is filed under the name uncultured eukaryote. RNAcentral's name for it is "partial 18S ribosomal RNA". It matches the Rfam family "Eukaryotic small subunit ribosomal RNA", at positions 592 to 976 of the family's 1831-position model. The record is from RNAcentral.